GUUCAAGAACCAGGAGAUCAAGUGGGAGGUGUUGCGUCAAAAGACAGUCUGAGGACAGAGCCCAGUUUGAGAUCCUCAAGUCCCAGAUGUACGCCGAGUGAGCAGCCAAGAGGGACCGCACACCUAAACGAGCCAGGGCCAUGCCAGAGGAUGAGCCUGUCCAGAAAGGCCCAUCCCUCCCCCGUGUCAUCGAUGGCCAGCCAGCGUAUACGGUGAGACGCCUCCUGAGGGUUCGACCACGGGGCAGGGGUUUCCAGUACCUGGUUGACUGGGAGGGUUGCUGUCACUUCCUGAUCUGUUUCACCUGUCCUUGUGAUUGUCUCUACCCCCUCUAGGUGUCGCUUAUUUUCCCUGGUGUAUGUAUCCCUGUGUUUCCUGUCUCUCUGUGCCAGUUCGUCUUGUCAAGUCAACCAGUGUUUUGACCAUUGCCUGCCCUGACUCUGUACCCGUAUGCUUGACUAUUCUGCCUGCCCUGACCUCGAGCCUGCCUGCCUGCCUGGACUAUGACCUUGUUAUGAACUUUUUACCUGUACACGACCAUUAUCUUGCCUGCCCCUUGGAUCC
This 564-nucleotide long non-coding RNA is filed under the name Salmo salar (Atlantic salmon). RNAcentral's name for it is "lncRNA (ENSSSAG00000103359.1)". Lineage: Eukaryota; Metazoa; Chordata; Actinopteri; Salmoniformes; Salmonidae. The record is from RNAcentral.